GGUUAGCUGUGAUGAUGAUGACUUUUGUCUCACUCCUGAAACAAUCAUGUGGGUGUCUAAGUCACUACCUCAUCUGAGCCAACU
Molecule: small nucleolar RNA, 84 nt
Organism: Erpetoichthys calabaricus (reedfish)
Lineage: Eukaryota; Metazoa; Chordata; Cladistia; Polypteriformes; Polypteridae
Gene: SNORD11B
Product: small nucleolar RNA, C/D box 11B
Source: Ensembl